This 515-nucleotide ribosomal RNA is filed under the name uncultured bacterium. RNAcentral describes it as "partial 16S ribosomal RNA". It matches the Rfam family "Bacterial small subunit ribosomal RNA", at positions 28 to 523 of the family's 1533-position model. The record is from RNAcentral.
GAUGAACGCUGGCGGCGUGCCUAAUACAUGCAAGUCGAGCGAAUGGAUUAAGAGCUUGCUCUUAUGAAGUUAGCGGCGGACGGGUGAGUAACACGUGGGCAACCUGCCCAUAAGACUGGGAUAACUCCGGGAAACCGGGGCUAAUACCGGAUAACCUUUUGAACCGCAUGGUUCGAAAUUGAAAGGCGGCUUCGGCUGUCACUUAUGUAGUGACCCGGGUCGCAUUAGCUAGUUGGUGAGGUAACGGCUCACCAAGGCAACGAUGCGUAGCCGACCUGAGAGGGUGAUCGGCCACACUGGGACUGAGACACGGCCCAGACUCCUACGGGAGGCAGCAGUAGGGAAUCUUCCGCAAUGGACGAAAGUCUGACGGAGCAACGCCGCGUGAGUGAUGAAGGCUUUCGGGUCGUAAAACUCUGUUGUUAGGGAAGAACAAGUGCUAGUUGAAUAAGCUGGCACCUUGACGGUACCUAACCAGAAAGCCACGGCUAACUACGUGCCAGCCGCCGCUGUAA